RNAcentral lists this ribosomal RNA (1613 nucleotides) under Escherichia coli O25b:H4-ST131. RNAcentral describes it as "partial 23S ribosomal RNA". It matches the Rfam family "Bacterial large subunit ribosomal RNA", at positions 1 to 1649 of the family's 2925-position model. Lineage: Bacteria; Pseudomonadati; Pseudomonadota; Gammaproteobacteria; Enterobacterales; Enterobacteriaceae. The record is from RNAcentral.
GGGUUGUGAGGUUAAGCGACUAAGCGUACACGGUGGAUGCCCUGGCAGUCAGAGGCGAUGAAGGACGUGCUAAUCUGCGAUAAGCGUCGGUGAGGUGAUAUGAACCGUUAUAACCGGCGAUUUCCGAAUGGGGAAACCCAGUGUGUUUCGACACACUAUCAUUAACUGAAUCCAUAGGUUAAUGAGGCGAACCGGGGGAACUGAAACAUCUAAGUACCCCGAGGAAAAGAAAUCAACCGAGAUUCCCCCAGUAGCGGCGAGCGAACGGGGAGGAGCCCAGAGCCUGAAUCAGUGUGUGUGUUAGUGGAAGCGUCUGGAAAGGCGCGCGAUACAGGGUGACAGCCCCGUACACAAAAAUGCACAUAUUGUGAGCUCGAUGAGUAGGGCGGGACACGUGGUAUCCUGUCUGAAUAUGGGGGGACCAUCCUCCAAGGCUAAAUACUCCUGACUGACCGAUAGUGAACCAGUACCGUGAGGGAAAGGCGAAAAGAACCCCGGCGAGGGGAGUGAAAAAGAACCUGAAACCGUGUACGUACAAGCAGUGGGAGCCUCUUAAUGGGGUGACUGCGUACCUUUUGUAUAAUGGGUCAGCGACUUAUAUUCUGUAGCAAGGUUAACCGAAUAGGGGAGCCGAAGGGAAACCGAGUCUUAACUGGGCGUUAAGUUGCAGGGUAUAGACCCGAAACCCGGUGAUCUAGCCAUGGGCAGGUUGAAGGUUGGGUAACACUAACUGGAGGACCGAACCGACUAAUGUUGAAAAAUUAGCGGAUGACUUGUGGCUGGGGGUGAAAGGCCAAUCAAACCGGGAGAUAGCUGGUUCUCCCCGAAAGCUAUUUAGGUAGCGCCUCGUGAAUUCAUCUCCGGGGGUAGAGCACUGUUUCGGCAAGGGGGUCAUCCCGACUUACCAACCCGAUGCAAACUGCGAAUACCGGAGAAUGUUAUCACGGGAGACACACGGCGGGUGCUAACGUCCGUCGUGAAGAGGGAAACAACCCAGACCGCCAGCUAAGGUCCCAAAGUCAUGGUUAAGUGGGAAACGAUGUGGGAAGGCCCAGACAGCCAGGAUGUUGGCUUAGAAGCAGCCAUCAUUUAAAGAAAGCGUAAUAGCUCACUGGUCGAGUCGGCCUGCGCGGAAGAUGUAACGGGGCUAAACCAUGCACCGAAGCUGCGGCAGCGACACUAUGUGUUGUUGGGUAGGGGAGCGUUCUGUAAGCCUGUGAAGGUGGCCUGUGAGGGUUGCUGGAGGUAUCAGAAGUGCGAAUGCUGACAUAAGUAACGAUAAAGCGGGUGAAAAGCCCGCUCGCCGGAAGACCAAGGGUUCCUGUCCAACGUUAAUCGGGGCAGGGUGAGUCGACCCCUAAGGCGAGGCCGAAAGGCGUAGUCGAUGGGAAACAGGUUAAUAUUCCUGUACUUGGUGUUACUGCGAAGGGGGGACGGAGAAGGCUAUGUUGGCCGGGCGACGGUUGUCCCGGUUUAAGCGUGUAGGCUGGUUUUCCAGGCAAAUCCGGAAAAUCAAGGCUGAGGCGUGAUGACGAGGCACUACGGUGCUGAAGCGACAAAUGCCCUGCUUCCAGGAAAAGCCUCUAAGCAUCAGGUAACAUCAAAUCGUACCC